Pantherophis guttatus is the source of this 401-nucleotide non-coding RNA. Lineage: Eukaryota; Metazoa; Chordata; Lepidosauria; Squamata; Colubridae. The record is from RefSeq and is a predicted model, not a curated record.
AGAGAAAGACAAAGACAGCUUUCAUGCCUAAAAUAGGACUAAAACUCAUGGUCUCCUGGUUUCUAGCCUGAUCAGAAUGGGUUCCUUUAAAUAUAGCCCUCCAAUUUUGUUGGACUGCAGCUUUCACCACUAUUCAAGACUGCUAAUGCUGAAUAGGGCUGAUGAGCACCAAAAUUCAACAGGUUAGAGAUCUGCUGUAGAUUAUAGCAUCCGUCAUCCAGUACUACCCUGUAAUCCUAUUGUGACACUAAUUAAGCUUCUGUAUAAAUGUUUUAUUUGCAUCUCUGGCCACAUCUAAAGCUGCAGAAACAGAAUGCAAGAAACAAGCACAUGUAAAUCUAUGGCUUAACUAAAUUUUGUGUUGUGUCUCUUCAUAUGUACAUAAAAGCAGAACGAAUAGA